This 43-nucleotide non-coding RNA is filed under the name Clonorchis sinensis. Lineage: Eukaryota; Metazoa; Platyhelminthes; Trematoda; Opisthorchiida; Opisthorchiidae. The record is from RNAcentral.
GCCUACCUGAUGAGUCCCAAAAAGGGCGAAACCGGUCGUAGGC